GGGUACGGGGAUUAGGGUUCGAUUCCGGAGAGGGAGCCUGAGAAACGGCUACCACAUCUAAGGAAGGCAGCAGGCGCGCAAAUUACCCAAUCCUAAUACAGGGAGGUAGUGACAAGAAAUAACAAUACAGGACUUUUUGGUUUUGUAAUUGGAAUGAGUUAAGUAUAACCCCCUUUACCACGAUCGGUGGAGGGCACCUCGUAAAAGGCUGAUAGGUCGGAAAUUUGAAUGAUAUGUCAGAUUUUCCGGGACCCGUAAAGUUA
This 263-nucleotide ribosomal RNA is filed under the name Cryptosporidium parvum. RNAcentral describes it as "partial small subunit ribosomal RNA". It matches the Rfam family "Eukaryotic small subunit ribosomal RNA", at positions 357 to 588 of the family's 1831-position model. The record is from RNAcentral. Lineage: Eukaryota; Apicomplexa; Conoidasida; Eucoccidiorida; Cryptosporidiidae.